Non-coding RNA from Pelobates cultripes (western spadefoot toad), 346 nucleotides. The record is from the annotation of a GenBank genome assembly. NCBI's taxonomy places the organism in Eukaryota, Metazoa, Chordata, Amphibia, Anura, Pelobatidae.
CCCCCCUCCCACCAGAUACAGAGUCAAACAAUAACAAUUAUCAACAACUGCAGCAGCUAGAACUAACGCAAAAUAAGGAACACCACUAAUUCAUAGUUCAAGCACCUUACCAGCUACAGACAAGGUCAACAAGAUAUCCGAUCUCUGUGAACCCAAACUCAUACCCAAGUUCCCCCUUUCUGUACCCUACCCCGAAUGAUAUGUAAAAAUUAAGGUAAAACGCUGUAAACUGUUAACUGUAAGCUCAACCUCGUUCUGUCUUUUGCUUGUAAUGUUUAAUACGAUGGUCAAGUAAUUCCAUGUCAAAAAUAAUGUUCUGUCAUAACGAUGAGAACGUGGACGACUG